RNAcentral lists this ribosomal RNA (864 nucleotides) under Triticum aestivum (bread wheat). Its description in RNAcentral is "partial small subunit ribosomal RNA". The record is from RNAcentral. Lineage: Eukaryota; Viridiplantae; Streptophyta; Magnoliopsida; Poales; Poaceae.
AUGGUGGGCCCUUUCAAGAGAGCCCGCGGCGGCUUGACGCAUCUACUUGUCGAUGUGGACAAGUUCACAAAGUGGAUCGAAGCAAAGCCGAUCAAGAAGCUGAACGGGCCGACUGCCGUGACAUUCAUCACUGACAUCACUACUCGGUACGGCGUGCCGCACAGCAUCAUCACCGACAACGGCACGAACUUCUCCAAUGGAGCACUGGCACGUUUCUGCGCGACGCAGGGCAUCCGACUGGACUUAGCGUCUGUUGCCCACCCGCAGUCAAACGGCCAGGUCGAGCGAGCAAAUGGACUCAUCCUCUCCGGCAUCAAGCCCCGACUGGUUGUACCACUGGAGCGAUCGGCCGGCUGCUGGCUUGAUGAGCUGCCGGCUGUCCUCUGGAGUCUGCGCACUACACCCAACAAGUCAACCGGCUUUACUCCAUUCUUCCUUGUAUAUGGUGCCGAGGCUGUCAUCCCAACAGACAUCGAGUUCGACUCGCCUCGGGUCACCAUGUACACGGAGGCGGAGGCCAAGGAAGCAAGAGAAGACGGCGUCGACCUACUGGAAGAAGGCCGGCUGUUAGCACUCAGCCGGUCCGCCAUCUACCAGCAAGGGCUGCGCUGCUACCACAACCGUAAGGUCAAGCCAAGAUCCUUCCAAGAGGGCGACCUUGUGCUCCGGCUGAUCCAGCGAACAGCCAGCCAGCACAAGCUCUCGGCCCCUUGGGAAGGCCCCUUCGUCAUCAGCAAGGCACUAGGCAACGACUCCUACUACCUGAUCGACGCGCAAAAACCAAGAGCACGCAAGAGAGACAACUCCGGCAAGGAGUCGGAGCGACCAUGGAACGCAAACCUCCUGAGAAGAUUUUACAGUUGA